This 350-nucleotide ribosomal RNA is filed under the name uncultured bacterium. RNAcentral's name for it is "bacterial SSU rRNA". It matches the Rfam family "Bacterial small subunit ribosomal RNA", at positions 28 to 361 of the family's 1533-position model. The record is from RNAcentral.
GAUGAACGCUGGCGGCGUGCCUAACACAUGCAAGUCGAACGGAGCUGCUUUGAUGAAGUUUUCGGAUGGAUUUAAAACAGCUUAGUGGCGGACGGGUGAGUAACGCGUGGGUAACCUGCCUCACACUGGGGGAUAACAGUUAGAAAUAGCUGCUAAUACCGCAUAAGCGCACAGUUCCGCAUGGAACAGUGUGAAAAACUCCGGUGGUGUGAGAUGGACCCGCGUCUGAUUAGCCAGUUGGCGGGGUAACGGCCCACCAAAGCGACGAUCAGUAGCCGGACUGAGAGGGUUGAACGGCCACAUUGGGACUGAGAUACGGCCCAGACUCCUACGGGAGCAGCAGUGGGAAU